Molecule: ribosomal RNA, 494 nt
Filed under: uncultured bacterium
Lineage: Bacteria
Description: partial 16S ribosomal RNA
Rfam family: Bacterial small subunit ribosomal RNA
Source: RNAcentral
GACGAACGCUGGCGGCGUGCUUAACACAUGCAAGUCGAACGGGAAGGCCUGCUUUCCCUUGUGGAUUGCGGGUACUCGAGUGGCGAACGGGUGAGUAACACGUGAGUGAUCUGCCCCCAACUUGGGUAUAAGCCUGGGAAACUGGGUCUAAUUCCCGAUAGGACUGCAGGGUGGUGCCUGUGGUGGAAAACGAUUUUCUAGUGGUUGGGGAUGAGCUCGCGGCCUAUCAGCUUGUUGGUGGGGUAAUGGCCUACCAAGGCGGCGACGGGUAGCCGGCCUGAGAGGGUGGACGGCCACAUUGGGACUGAGAUACGGCCCAGACUCCUACGGGGGGCAGCAGUGGGGAAUAUUGCACAAUGGGCGGAAGCCUGAUGCAGCGACGCCGCGUGGGGGAUGACGGCCUUCGGGUUGUAAACUCCUUUCGACCGCGAGGAAGCCACCUGGUUGGAAGGGUGGUGACGGUAGUGGUAGAAGAAGCACCGGCUAACUACGUG